AACGAACGGCUGGGCGGCGUGGAUUAGGCAUGCAAGUCGAACGGUAGGAUACCUUCGGGUAUCUGAGAGUGGCGAACGGGUGAGUAACACGUAGGUGAUCUACCCUCAAGAUUGGGACAACCCAGGGAAACUUGGGCUAAUACCGGAUGAAAGCAGCAGUGAUGUUGUUUGAAAGGUGGCGUAAGCUGCCGUUUGGGGAUGAGCCUGCGCUCUAUUAGUUAGUUGGCGGGGUAAAGGCCCACCAAGGCGAUGAUAGAUAGGCGGCCUUAACGGGUGGUCGCCCACACUGGGAUUGAGAUACGGCCCAGACUCCUACGGGAGGCAGCAGUCGAGAAUAGUCUACAAUGGCCGAAAGGCUGAUAGUGCGACGCCGCGUGAACGAAGAAGCCCUUCGGGGUGUAAAGUUCUUUUAUAUGUGAGCAGUGCUUUCUAUGUGAACAGCAUGGGGAGAGAGAUAUUAGCAUAUGAAUAAGCAACGGCUAACUCCGUG
RNAcentral lists this ribosomal RNA (490 nucleotides) under uncultured bacterium. Its description in RNAcentral is "bacterial SSU rRNA". It matches the Rfam family "Bacterial small subunit ribosomal RNA", at positions 38 to 507 of the family's 1533-position model. The record is from RNAcentral.